GAAAUGCGAUAAGUAAUGUGAAUUGCAGAAUUCAGUGAAUCAUCGAAUCUUUGAACGCACAUUGCGCCCGGCAGCAAUCUGCCGGGCAUGCCUGUCCGAGCGUCAUUUCUGCCCUCGAGCCCGGUUCGGCCCCUAGCGGGCCGGCCGCCGCCCGGUGUUGGGGCGCUGCGGGCCCUCGUGCCCGCAGGCCCCGAAAUGAAGUGGCGGUCCCGCCGCGGCGCCCCCUGCGUAGUAGUAAAGCACCUCGCAUCGGGUCCCGGCGGAGGCCAGCCGUCGAACCUCUCUUUUGAUGGUUUGACCUCGGAUCAGGUAGUGUUACCCGCUGAACUUAAGC
This 334-nucleotide unclassified non-coding RNA is filed under the name plant metagenome. Its description in RNAcentral is "partial contains 5.8S ribosomal RNA, internal transcribed spacer 2, and large subunit ribosomal RNA". The stretch from base 1 to 105 matches the Rfam family "5.8S ribosomal RNA", at positions 50 to 154 of the family's 154-position model. The record is from RNAcentral.